AGCAGCCGCGGUAAUUCCAGCUCCAAUAGCGUAUAUUAAAGUUGUUGCAGUUAAAAAGCUCGUAGUUGAAUUUCGGGAUUGACACAUCGGUCGUGCCUUAAGGGGUGUGAACUGGUGUAGUCAAUUUCUCACCUUCUGGAGAACCGCGAUGUCCUUAAUUGGGUGCCGCGAGGAACCAGGACCUUUACUUUAGAAAAAAUUAGAGUUAGUUUAAAGCAGGCUAUUUUUGCUUGAAUACAUUAGCAUGGAAUAAUAAAAUAGGACGGCAUGAUUCUAUUUUGUUGGUUUCUAGGAUCACCGUAAUGAUUAAUAGGAUAGUUGGGGGCAUUAGUAUUCAAUUGUCAGAGGUGAAAUUCUUGGAUUUAUUGAAGACUAACUACUGCGAAAGCAUUUGCCAAGGAUGUUUUCAUUAAUCAAGAACGAAAGUUAGGGAUCGAAGACGAUCAGAUACCGUCGUAGUCUUAACCAUAAAACUAUGCCGACUAGGAAUCAGACGAUGUUUAAUUUUUAAUAGUACUUCGUUUGGCACCGUUACGGGAAACCUU
RNAcentral lists this ribosomal RNA (545 nucleotides) under uncultured Diversispora. RNAcentral's name for it is "SSU rRNA". It matches the Rfam family "Eukaryotic small subunit ribosomal RNA", at positions 569 to 1101 of the family's 1831-position model. Lineage: Eukaryota; Fungi; Glomeromycota; Glomeromycetes; Diversisporales; Diversisporaceae. The record is from RNAcentral.